Molecule: ribosomal RNA, 421 nt
Filed under: uncultured bacterium
Lineage: Bacteria
Description: partial 16S ribosomal RNA
Rfam family: Bacterial small subunit ribosomal RNA
Source: RNAcentral
AACAUUGGACAAUGGGGGCAACGCUGAUCCAGCCAUGCCGCGUGUUUGAAUAAGGUCUUCUGUUUGUAAAGCACUUUAAGGUGGAAGGAAGGGCUUUAUGUUACUACCCUGAAGUUUUCACGUUACCAACAGAAGAAGUACCGGCUAACGCUGUGUCAGCAGCCGCGGUAAGACAGAGGGUGCAAGCGUUAAUCGGAAGUACUGGGCGUAAAGCGCGCGUAGGUGGUUCAGUAAGAUGGGUGUGAAAUCCCCGGGCUUAACCUGGGAACUGCUUUCAUAACUGCUGAGCUAGAGUACGGUAGAGGGUAGUGGAAUUUCCUGUGUAGCGGUGAAAUGCGUAGAUAUAGGAAGGAACACCAGUGGCGAAGGCGACUACCUGGACUGAUACUGACACUGAGGUGCGAAAGCGUGGGGAGCAAAC